AACUUUCAACAACGGAUCUCUUGGCUCUGGCAUCGAUGAAGAACGCAGCGAAAUGCGAUAAGUAAUGUGAAUUGCAGAAUUCAGUGAAUCAUCGAAUCUUUGAACGCACAUUGCGCCCGCCAGUAUUCUGGCGGGCAUGCCUGUUCG
This 147-nucleotide ribosomal RNA is filed under the name Tolypocladium sp. 20124521b. RNAcentral describes it as "5.8S ribosomal RNA". It matches the Rfam family "5.8S ribosomal RNA". From Rfam's summary of the family: 5.8S ribosomal RNA (5.8S rRNA) is a component of the large subunit of the eukaryotic ribosome. It is transcribed by RNA polymerase I as part of the 45S precursor that also contains 18S and 28S rRNA. The record is from RNAcentral. Lineage: Eukaryota; Fungi; Ascomycota; Sordariomycetes; Hypocreales; Ophiocordycipitaceae.